UGAAGAUGAAAAUACUGUUAACCG
Molecule: non-coding RNA, 24 nt
Filed under: Drosophila melanogaster (fruit fly)
Lineage: Eukaryota; Metazoa; Arthropoda; Insecta; Diptera; Drosophilidae
Source: RNAcentral